RNAcentral lists this long non-coding RNA (369 nucleotides) under Anas platyrhynchos platyrhynchos (common mallard). Its description in RNAcentral is "lncRNA (ENSAPLG00000026892.1)". Lineage: Eukaryota; Metazoa; Chordata; Aves; Anseriformes; Anatidae. The record is from RNAcentral.
AUGGAUCAGACGUUUGAAAACCUUGAAGACAGGACAAAUCUCCUGUUCUGUUGGUUGCUCAUCCUGAAAGUGGGAGGGAGAUGGAUCUCCUGUCUUCCCACAGAAGACAUUUGUGCUUGGAGAACAGGGAAUUAAAGAUCAACAGUGAAAAUAUUUGACGCUUCAGGUGGAGUUACAUAUCUCAACAAAGGAUGUAACAUUUCUCUGCUGACAUGCAAAGCAAAAGAAGGUAUAUUUUUUUUCCUAGAAUAUAUUUGGAAUGAUAUCCUCUGGUACUAUCUACUGACCAGUCGUUAGAAAGGAUUGUUAAGUCUGUUACCAUGUUUGUUGUUUUUCCAUAGCUGAUUUGGUGCUGGCUGAGAUGGUGCA